CAGACUCUGGAAGGAUCUUCCUUAUGCCAGAAUUAAUGGUCAUCACAGCUGCGGAGCCUGAUUGGUCUUUGUAGAAAACCGACGCCUUAUCCCUGUCCAAACCAGUCAAGCACAUUUCUAGAGUGUAAACCGGGCCAGUGGUGGUCACAGGUUCUGCAGAUGCAGAGUACACAUGCCAUUUCUGUUUAUCCAGCCCACCCAUUACACAAGCCUUGCUACCAGCGCCAAGCUUUCCGAAAUAGUUAUCAAGAACAGCAACCUCUUCAGAGAAGUUUCGGUGAGGAAAUGGCUGAGCACCAGGGAAAAUAAAACUCCCACGAGUAUACCUAACAGAUUUUACAGCAAGGGAUAGACUGCCAACCAAUUUCAAGAUGGGUGGGAUAGCAAGAAGCAACUUAGUUGUCCCACAGGUUUUGAUUAUAAUCUUGUAUGGAUAGACAAAGAGGCUAGACUCAGAAAGGACAUAGGAGUCCACUUGCUUGUUAGAUAAUGAAGAAACAAUGGUGCAUUCAGCUGGACCUAGAAUCUCAUCCAACUGGGCUCUGGUAAGUGCCCGAA
This 558-nucleotide long non-coding RNA is filed under the name Gossypium barbadense (sea-island cotton). RNAcentral's name for it is "long non-coding RNA (GBAR_LNC002377)". The record is from RNAcentral. Lineage: Eukaryota; Viridiplantae; Streptophyta; Magnoliopsida; Malvales; Malvaceae.